RNAcentral lists this unclassified non-coding RNA (337 nucleotides) under soil metagenome. RNAcentral describes it as "partial contains 5.8S ribosomal RNA, internal transcribed spacer 2, and large subunit ribosomal RNA". The stretch from base 1 to 120 matches the Rfam family "5.8S ribosomal RNA", at positions 35 to 154 of the family's 154-position model. The record is from RNAcentral.
GAUGAAGAACGUAGCGAAAUGCGAUACGUAAUGUGAAUUGCAGAAUUCAGUGAAUCAUCGAGUCUUUGAACGCACAUUGCGCCCCUUGGUAUUCCAUGGGGCAUGCCUGUUCGAGCGUCAUUUGUACCUUCAAGCCUUGCUUGGUGUUGGGUGUUUGUCUCGCCUCUGCGCGCAGACUCGCCUCAAAACAAUUGGCAGCCGGCGUAUUGAUUUCGGAGCGCAGUACAUCUCGCGCUUUGCACUCAGAACGACGACGUCCAAAAGUACAUUUUUACACUCUUGACCUCGGAUCAGGUAGGGAUACCCGCUGAACUUAAGCAUAUCAAUAAGCGGAGGA